AGAGUUUGAUCCUGGCUCAGAAUCAACGCUGGCGGCGUGCCUAACACAUGCAAGUCGAACGAGAAAGUGGAGCAAUCCAUGAGUACAGUGGCGUACGGGUGAGUAACACGUGACUAACCUACCCUCGAGUGGGGAAUAACUUCGGGAAACCGGGGCUAAUACCGCAUAACAUCUACGGAUCAAAUGCGCAAGCAGCUUGAGAAGGGGGUCGCGGCCGAUUAGCUAGUUGGUGGGGUAAUGGCCCACCAAGGCAAUGAUCGGUAGCCGGCCUGAGAGGGCGCACGGCCACACUGGAACUGAAACACGGUCCAGACUCCUACGGGAGGCAGCAGUGGGGAAUUUUGCGCAAUGGGGGAAACCCUGACGCAGCAACGCCGCGUGGAGGAUGAAGCCCCUUGGGGUGUAAACUCCUUUCGAUCGGGACGAUUAUGACGGUACCGGAUGAAGAAGCACCGGCUAACUCUGUGCCAGCCGCCGCGGUAAUAC
RNAcentral lists this ribosomal RNA (486 nucleotides) under uncultured bacterium. RNAcentral's name for it is "bacterial SSU rRNA". It matches the Rfam family "Bacterial small subunit ribosomal RNA", at positions 8 to 526 of the family's 1533-position model. The record is from RNAcentral.